Molecule: small nuclear RNA, 105 nt
Organism: Suncus etruscus (white-toothed pygmy shrew)
Lineage: Eukaryota; Metazoa; Chordata; Mammalia; Eulipotyphla; Soricidae
Source: RefSeq, a predicted model, not a curated record
GUGCCCUUCGGCAGCACAUAUACUAAAACUGGAACAAUACAGAGAAGAUUAGCAUGGCCCCUGCACCAGGAUGACAAGCAAUUAUUUAAUAAGCACUCUGAUCCA